AAUGAGAGUUUGAUCCUGGCUCAGGACGAACGCUGGCGGCGUGCCUAAUACAUGCAAGUAGAACGCUGAGGUUUGGUGUUUACACUAGACUGAUGAGUUGCGAACGGGUGAGUAACGCGUAGGUAACCUGCCUCAUAGCGGGGGAUAACUAUUGGAAACGAUAGCUAAUACCGCAUAAGAGUAAUUAACACAUGUUAGUUAUUUAAAAGGAGCAAUUGCUUCACUGUGAGAUGGACCUGCGUUGUAUUAGCUAGUUGGUGAGGUAAAGGCUCACCAAGGCGACGAUACAUAGCCGACCUGAGAGGGUGAUCGGCCACACUGGGACUGAGACACGGCCCAGACUCCUACGGGAGGCAGCAGUAGGGAAUCUUCGGCAAUGGACGGAAGUCUGACCGAGCAACGCCGCGUGAGUGAAGAAGGUUUUCGGAUCGUAAAGCUCUGUUGUUAGAGAAGAACGUUGGUAGGAGUGGAAAAUCUACCAAGUGACGGUAACUAACCAGAAAGGGACGGCUAACUACGUGCCAGCAGCCGCGGUAAUACGUAGGUCCCGAGCGUUGUCCGGAUUUAUUGGGCGUAAAGCGAGCGCAGGCGGUUCUUUAAGUCUGAAGUUAAAGGCAGUGGCUUAACCAUUGUACGCUUUGGAAACUGGAGGACUUGAGUGCAGAAGGGGAGAGUGGAAUUCCAUGUGUAGCGGUGAAAUGCGUAGAUAUAUGGAGGAACACCGGUGGCGAAAGC
RNAcentral lists this ribosomal RNA (735 nucleotides) under Streptococcus agalactiae FSL C1-494. Its description in RNAcentral is "bacterial SSU rRNA". It matches the Rfam family "Bacterial small subunit ribosomal RNA", at positions 1 to 722 of the family's 1533-position model. Lineage: Bacteria; Bacillati; Bacillota; Bacilli; Lactobacillales; Streptococcaceae. The record is from RNAcentral.